This is a long non-coding RNA of Oncorhynchus tshawytscha (Chinook salmon), 442 nucleotides long. NCBI's taxonomy places the organism in Eukaryota, Metazoa, Chordata, Actinopteri, Salmoniformes, Salmonidae. The record is from Ensembl.
GGGGGAGGUAUUAGGGCCUAGAUAUUAGGGGAAGGUAUUAGGGGCUAGGUGUUAGGGGCUAGGUAUUAGGGGAAGCUAUUAGAGGCUAGAUAUUAGGGGAUGGUAUUAGGGGGAAGGUAUUAGGGGAUACGUAUUAGGGGAAGGUAUUAGGGGAUAGGUAUUAGGGGAAGGUAUUAGGGGAUACGUAUUAGGGGAAGGUAUUAGGGGCUAGGUAUUAGGGGAAGCUAUUAGGGGCUAGGUAUUAGGGAAAGAUAUUUGGGGCUAGGUAUUAGGGGCUAAGUCUUAGAGGCUAGGUAUUAGGGGAAGAUAUUAAGGGCUAGGUAUUAGUGGCUAGGAUUUAGGGGCGAAGUAUACCUCGGCAUGCUAGAGCAGCUGUAAGUUCUAUGGCAGAAUCUCAUUACCAUCCUAACAGCUUGCAGAUUCAUUUGCAUUUUUCCGUGAG